This 218-nucleotide ribosomal RNA is filed under the name uncultured bacterium. RNAcentral describes it as "partial 16S ribosomal RNA". It matches the Rfam family "Bacterial small subunit ribosomal RNA", at positions 99 to 334 of the family's 1533-position model. The record is from RNAcentral.
CGCACGGGUGCGUAACGCGUGGGAAUCUGCCCUCAGGUACGGAAUAACUCAGGGAAACUUGAGCUAAUACCGUAUAAUGACUUCGGUCCAAAGAUUUAUCGCCUGAGGAUGAGCCCGCGUCGGAUUAGCUAGUUGGUGAGGUAAAAGCUCACCAAGGCGACGAUCCGUAGCUGGUCUGAGAGGAUGAUCAGCCACACUGGGACUGAGACACGGCCCAG